GUAAGUAAAAGUCGUAACAAGGUUUCCGUAGGUGAACCUGCGGAAGGAUCAUUAUUGUAUAACCGAGGUGCGAGGGCUGUCGCUGACCCGAAAGGUCGUGCACGCCCGAGUGCCCUCACACAUCCAUCUCACCCCUAUGUGCACCACCGCGUGGGUCCCCCUUUGGCUUGUUCGGAGGGGGGCUUACGUUUUCACACAAACUUUGUAUGCAGUGUAGAAUGUAUUUUUUGUUUUUGCGAUCACGCAAUCAAUACAACUUUCAACAACGGAUCUCUUGGCUCUC
Molecule: unclassified non-coding RNA, 283 nt
Filed under: plant metagenome
Description: partial contains small subunit ribosomal RNA, internal transcribed spacer 1, and 5.8S ribosomal RNA
Rfam family: Eukaryotic small subunit ribosomal RNA (bases 1-54)
Source: RNAcentral